RNAcentral lists this ribosomal RNA (514 nucleotides) under uncultured bacterium. RNAcentral's name for it is "bacterial SSU rRNA". It matches the Rfam family "Bacterial small subunit ribosomal RNA", at positions 15 to 518 of the family's 1533-position model. The record is from RNAcentral.
GAUCAUGGCUCAGGAUGAACGCUAGCUACAGGCUUAACACAUGCAAGUCGAGGGGCAGCGAGAGGAAAGCUUGCUUCCUGUCGGCGACCGGCGCACGGGUGAGUAACGCGUAUCCAACCUUCCCCAUAGUAGAGGAUAGCCCGGCGAAAGUCGGAUUAAUACUCUAUGUUGUGUCAUGAGGACAUCUGAAUAACACUAAAGAUUUAUCGCUAUGGGAUGGGGGAUGCGUCUGAUUAGGUAGUCGGCGGGGUAACGGCCCACCGAGCCGACGAUCAGUAGGGGUUCUGAGAGGAAGGUCCCCCACAUUGGUACUGAGACACGGACCAAACUCCUACGGGAGGCAGCAGUGAGGAAUAUUGGUCAAUGGACGAGAGUCUGAACCAGCCAAGUAGCGUGCCAGGAUGACUGCCCUAUGGGUUGUAAACUGCUUUUAUGCGGGAAUAAAGUCAGGUACGUGUACCUGUUUGUAUGUACCGCAUGAAUAAGGACCGGCUAAUUCCGUGCCAGCCGCGGC